GUAGGUGGCAAGCGUUGUCCGGAAUUAUUGGGCGUAAAGCGCGCGCAGGCGGUCCUUUAAGUCUGAUGUGAAAGCCCACGGCUCAACCGUGGAGGGUCAUUGGAAACUGGGGGACUUGAGUGCAGAAGAGGAGAGUGGAAUUCCACGUGUAGCGGUGAAAUGCGUAGAGAUGUGGAGGAACACCAGUGGCGAAGGCGACUCUCUGGUCUGUAAUUGACGCUGAGGCGCGAAAGCGUGGGGGGAGCGAACAGGAUUAGAUACCCUGGUAGUCUACGCCGUAGACGAUGAGUGCUAAGUGUUAGAGGGUUUCCGCCUUUAGUGCUGCAGCUAACGCAUUAAGCACUCCGCCUGGGGAGUACGGUCGCAAGACUG
Molecule: ribosomal RNA, 372 nt
Filed under: uncultured organism
Description: partial 16S ribosomal RNA
Rfam family: Bacterial small subunit ribosomal RNA
Source: RNAcentral